Molecule: ribosomal RNA, 622 nt
Filed under: uncultured bacterium
Lineage: Bacteria
Description: bacterial SSU rRNA
Rfam family: Bacterial small subunit ribosomal RNA
Source: RNAcentral
GACGAACGCUGGCGGCGUGCUUAACACAUGCAAGUCGAACGAUGAAGCCCAGCUUGCUGGGUGGAAGAGUGGCGAACGGGUGAGUAACACGUGAGUAACCUGCCCUGAACUCUGGGAUAAGCACUGGAAACGGUGUCUAAUACUGGAUACGACCUAUCACCGCAUGGUGUGUGGGUGGAAAGAUUUAUCGGUUUUGGAUGGACUCGCGGCCUAUCAGCUAGAUGGUGAGGUAAUGGCUCACCAUGGCGACGACGGGUAGCCGGCCUGAGAGGGUGACCGGCCACACUGGGACUGAGACACGGCCCAGACUCCUACGGGAGGCAGCAGUGGGGAAUAUUGCACAAUGGGCGCAAGCCUGAUGCAGCAACGCCGCGUGAGGGAUGACGGCCUUCGGGUUGUAAACCUCUUUUAGUAGGGAAGAAGCGAAAGUGACGGUACCUGCAGAAAAAGCACCGGCUAACUACGUGCCAGCAGCCGCGGUAAUACGUAGGGUGCAAGCGUUGUCCGGAAUUAUUGGGCGUAAAGAGCUCGUAGGCGGCUUGUCGCGUCUGCUGUGAAAUCCCGGGGCUCAACCCCGGGUCUGCAGUGGGUACGGGCAAGCUAGAGUGCGGUAGGGGAGAUU